AACGAACGCUGGCGGCAGGCCUAACACAUGCAAGUCGAGCGAACCCUUCGGGGUUAGCGGCGGACGGGUUAGUAACGCGUGGGAAUAUACCCUUUGGUACGGAAUAGCCUCGGGAAACUGAGAGUAAUACCGUAUGUGCCCUUCGGGGGAAAGAUUUAUCGCCAAAGGAUUAGCCCGCGUUGGAUUAGAUAGUUGGUGGGGUAAUGGCCUACCAAGUCUACGAUCCAUAGCUGGUCUGAGAGGAUGAUCAGCCACACUGGGACUGAGACACGGCCCAGACUCCUACGGGAGGGCAGCAGUAGGGAAGUAAUUGGACGAAUGGGGGGAACCCGUACGAUCCAGCCAUGCCGCGUGAGGGAAGAAGGUCC
RNAcentral lists this ribosomal RNA (368 nucleotides) under uncultured bacterium. Its description in RNAcentral is "bacterial SSU rRNA". It matches the Rfam family "Bacterial small subunit ribosomal RNA", at positions 29 to 417 of the family's 1533-position model. The record is from RNAcentral.